CUCUUGCUGACCAGUUAUGAAUUUUCUUUAUGUUAUUGCUGAUCUCAGAUGUUUAGUUUCCAAGUUUAUCUCAAAACUACACCUUCUAUGAAUGCCCCCAGGUGGUGCAUAUCUAAAAGCUCUUUGUGCAUUCUUACGAUUUUUGUAUAUGCAUUUGCGUGAAUUGAGCCCGGAUCUGAUCUGGUUUGGCUAUGUUCAUGGUUUUCUUUGGUCGCGUAUGAGUGGAAAAGGGAGGCAGGGGAGUUCGAAUUUGUGAGGACAAUGGCGCCAUGGUUGACUGAAUGGCAAUAGGAAGAAGGCACAUCUCAUGUAAUUGUUUUAUUUAAGACAAGUCUGCACUGGGGAGUUCCAAUUUGUGAGGACUAUGGUGCCAUGGUUGACUGAAUGGCAAUAGGAAGAAGGCACGUCUCAUGUAAUUGUUUUAUUUAAGACAAGUCUGCACUCUCUUAUGUCAAAUUUGCAGAUUCCCCUGCCCUAGGCUAUUUCUAAGGGGGAGAGAAGUGUGUUAUUUUUUGUUGGGAUUACAAAGAAUGGUAGCGGUGAGUAUAUGGUAUAUUCUUUUCCCUAUUUUUCUUUAACAUAUUUAGUUUUGGGUAUAGGCACGACCAUUAAAUUCAAUCAUUUCCCUUGUCUCUAUCAAAUUUAAACAUUGCACAAUGAUUUAUCCUCUAUUUUGACCUUGCACUGAAAUCUGAAUUCAGCUCGUGUGCAUGUAUGUUUAUACCUAGCCUAAAAUCUUGUCUCCUGCAUAUUGUGGUAGGUGACCUCAUGUAGGGGUAUGCUUAGCAGUUUAGUGUUGCUUCUCCAUCAUAUCUUGACACCCUUUGAUUAAGUACAUGGUCUGUCUUGCCCAUUAAUCGUUCAUAAUAAAAACAUAGGUAUUACAAACAUCAUUUUGUGGACCAAAUACCGUGUCCAUGUAAUCAUGUUGUCUAUUUAUGAAUUUAUUUGUAUUAUUACUGCUCUACUAUGGUGCGAUUGGUGUUCCUAUUUGUCUAUUUUGGCGUUUGCUACCUUCUCUGUUGUUUCCUUCUGUGUUGCAUGGCGGAGGAAGAAUUUGAUUAUUUGGAGUGUGCACUGGAGCUAUCGGAAGAUAAUUCCAUUACUGGAUUCAUAACUUUUGGAACAUAAGUACAGAAUCGGUGAUAUGCAGCUGGUUGAUUUUCCAACAUAAAGACUAGAGAAUUGCUACAAUUUGAGAUGGCAGUGAAUGCUUAUGAGACUCGCUUUGCUACGAAGGAGAGAUGAAGAUAUACCUGCGGUGGAGGAGGGCGGCGGUUGGUGCCUGUGGAGCUGCGGUGUGCCGCAGGCAAUCGAGGCGGCUGAAGCUUGCUGCGGCCCUGAGCCCGCUGCGCGGCGAUGGAAUACAUGGAAACGCGGUGCUGACGACCAAUCUAGAAAUAUCGGUUACUAAAUUAGCAGAUCUAUCUAUAGUUUUCCUGUAAAACUAAUAAAUUUGGAAGGCAUGGAUUUGUUGUACGAAGGACCGAUAAAGACAUACCUGCGGUGGAGGAGGGCGGCGGUUGGAGCCUGUGGAGCUGCGGUGUGGCGCAGGCAAUACAGGCGGCUGAAGGUUAUUGCGGCCCUGAGCCCGUUAGUGAGCCGAGGGAAUAUAUGGAGACGCCGUACUGACGACCAGCGGAGCGCGGCUGUCUUGCCAUGGAAGCAGCGCUUUUGAACAACUACCACUUAUGCUUUUACCUAUAUAAUCUCUGCUGUUGUUCCUCAUCGAUCUAUUAAUAUGCAUAAUGACGUGCUUAUCUAUAAUUAUUUGUUUUUACUACUUUCUCUGUUUCAAACAUUGAGUACUCACCAGCAACAACAAAUAUGCUAAGCAAGGAAGAGGCAUGCCCUACCUGGCAGCGCCCACCUUCCACUCAAGGGAUAUAGCACUAUCUUUUAGCAUAGACUGUUCCAGGAGCUGUAAGUAUAUUCAUUAUUUUGAUCUGUGACUAAGUUUUCCUAUCACCACUCUUACAAUACUUGGCUUGCUGCCGGCUUUUGCGGCAUUAGCGCAACGGGUCAUCUAGUUGAAGUAAAAAGCCGAUGGAAGAGCAUGUAGAUGUGAUAGUGUGCUCAUAAGUUCACAAUCCCUCUUUUGCUUCAUCCUAUUCUGAUUUGAGUUCGGUAAGACCGUCCCUCUUUCACCGUUUCUCUGAUGAACCUUAACUCGUUUUAUACACUCUCCGCACCUCUAUUUCUCUCUCCAUUCUACGUAUGCAUGUUUGAUGUCGCCUCUUUUUUCCCCUACACAUUGUCUCCUGCACGUCCCUUUCCCCCUUUCACCCCUCCACGUUGGUAAAGGAAGUGGCACGACGAAGAUAUCUGACUUAUUUUCAUUUUCUAUGGUAAGGUGAACUAUUUGUUCGCCAAAACUAGGGAUAAAUUAUCUGAUUUGUUAAUUACAACAAAAAAGAUAGUUAAACUUAUUCCCAACUUAAAAUAGUUCCAGUUCUCAAGGCACGUUAUUAUACAUGCUCUCAUAUACAAUCUGCACAACGUUAGAUGCUAGCAUUACCUAAGGGAAACACUUCAUAUCUAUAGUCUGAUAUAGAGCAUUCGUCAUACCACUUGUUUGCCGUUGAUAAUUGCUUAAUCCCACGGAUGGAGAAUCACACCUUAAUCCCAUGGUUUGUUGCUAACCAACCACUUUUAGCGCACGUAAAUCCCUCCUCCCCUAAUCACUCGCUCGUUUCAUCUCUCCCCAAUGCCCCGUUCCUCUCAUGGUCACGAUCUCACCUGCCUGGCCGACAUCGACGCACCCCACCUCCGAGUCUGGCUUCCACUGCGUUGCCCCUGUCCUCUCCUAUAUCCGCGCCCAGAAUCAAUCCCCCGUUCUCCUUGAUCCCAACUGAUGUCACUUCAAGUUCCCCAUCAACCGCGGCUGGAAGAUCCGAUCUCGUGCACUCCUUGAUGAUGCCCCCUCCCCCCGGGCACUACCUCGCCGUGUGCCAUACCAGAUUUAGCUGCUCGUUGCCUCGUCUACUUCCCUGGAGCAUCAACCGGCUGCAGACGUACCAAAUGUCGGCCGGAUAACCAGGAGCAGCUUCUAGUCCUUUUCCCAUCUUGAACAUCCCUUCUCGGAAUCGAAGCCAUCCUUCUUGUUUCCACGCAAUGCCAAGUGAGGCUAUCGAUGCUGAGGAUGCCAGCAUGACCAGGCACCGCUCGCCGCCGACUGUUCUAAUGGUGACAAGGGGCUUGCAGCAUGCGUAGAGCUUAUCCAUAAUCAUCUGUUCAGCAUGCGUUGAGACUUCAGCAAGACGGAAGUGAAAAUAGUGUCACCGUAAUUGAUGCUUUGAAGUAUUGAUGCUACCUCAGAAUUAUGUUUGUUCAGUUUAGAUAGUUGACCACAAUAGAACCAUGCUUCAAAAUAUCCAUUCUUAACCAUCCAGUGUUUCUAUAUAUGUAUUUUGAAGCUUCUUUAUAGUACUAUUUUUUUUGCUUCA
Molecule: long non-coding RNA, 3446 nt
Organism: Aegilops tauschii subsp. strangulata
Lineage: Eukaryota; Viridiplantae; Streptophyta; Magnoliopsida; Poales; Poaceae
Source: RefSeq, a predicted model, not a curated record